UAUACAUGUAUUAUUAAGGCAACUUUGCAUGGUUAAAUUGUAUACAGGACAUGACAAGGGUAUUUAAUUAUAUACUCGUGAGACUAUUUUAAUCAUAAGAUUUAUUUUAUGGUUCAAAUCAAGCGUGCAUUCUAAAACAGUGUAUAUCAACUUGUGGAGUUUUAACAACGCAGUCAGGCAGAAGUUUAUUUGAACAUACUAUUACACAUGACAGUUGAGAUUUAAUAUGAGUGAUGAUGAAGUCUUAGAUACUGACAAGGUUUUGUCUUGGAGAAAACACAGAUUGCCAAAAGCCAGACCAAAUUUAAAGUUAAGUCCUCUUUUGCCCAUGAGAAAGUCUAGAAACGAGGAGACCACCUCAAAAGAAGCUGAACGUGAUAGUCAAAGAUCCUUAGACCUAGAUAGGCGUGGAACCGAUAGUCCUCGCUUAGGACUACGGGCAUCUAAUAACAAUUAUACAUGUAAAUGUUUAAACAGAAAUGGACAUGCAACAUCUUCCUUGUUGUCUUUGGGUUAUUUGGCAUGUCAACAUUGCGGAAAAGAUGUUGUAGAUGGGGGGCAUAAUGCUUGGAGUGGGGAUCCAAUAUCCAGUAUGUGUGGUACAUAUAAACAGGACCACACAAUGUCGCCUAGAAAACCUAAUAAAUCAGACACUCCAAUGGAUGUUCAGGUUUUUGAUUUUGAUAAUAAAAUGAUAACCCCCAGGGCAAACAUACCAUCCCGUCCAUCAGACAUAGAUGUAAAAGCCCGUCUGCCAAACAUAAGCAAAACAGAAAUAAACUAUAGAUCUCCUAGAACUCCUAGAAAGACGCAGAAUCCGAUAACAACUUCAAUACCCGUGAAGCUCCCGCCAAUCAAACAAGCAAGUCAGUCAGAACCUACCAUAGAAGAGGGUCAAGAGGAACCAACUACAUCAGAUACGCCAUCUUUUAAGAUUGAUAUACCUUCAGGUAGCAGGUCAUUUGAUGGAGAGUAUUACGACCAAGAGAAAAGCGCAAAGGUGGCAUAUAAGAUUAGUCAAGCGUUUGGCAAUCCAGUAACCACCUGGGAUGCGACCCAAGAAAACACAAGACAAGACAGCAUCGAACCAACAAGUUAAUUCUCCAGCUAUUCACACUAAAUGGGAAAAGUAAAAUAAUGGAGUUUGGCCAACAAAUCAAAUGUUUAAUUUCUCAUAGACUUUAUGAUUUAUUUAUAUGUGUGAUUUAUUUUGGCCCAUUUACUGAAUAAUAAAUUACGCAAUAUACUAUAUAGAAAGCAACCAUGUCAAUUUUAUUCGUUAUAGCCAGUACUGGA
This is a long non-coding RNA of Patella vulgata (common limpet), 1296 nucleotides long. RefSeq lists it as uncharacterized. NCBI's taxonomy places the organism in Eukaryota, Metazoa, Mollusca, Gastropoda, Patellidae. The record is from RefSeq and is a predicted model, not a curated record. The transcript is spliced from 3 exons.